UGGUGGAGUGAUUUGUCUGGUUAAUUCCGUUAACGAACGAGACCUCGACCUGCUAAAUAGUUCGGCAAAUCUUAGGAUUUGUUCGUGACUUCUUAGAGGGACUAUCGGUGGGUAGCCGAUGGAAGUUCGAGGCAAUAACA
RNAcentral lists this ribosomal RNA (140 nucleotides) under uncultured eukaryote. Its description in RNAcentral is "partial 18S ribosomal RNA". It matches the Rfam family "Eukaryotic small subunit ribosomal RNA", at positions 1299 to 1458 of the family's 1831-position model. The record is from RNAcentral.